AUUUAAAUAGUUUAUAUAAAAUUUUGAUUUGUGGAAUCAAAGAUAUGAUUUAUUCAUUUUAAAUA
This 65-nucleotide transfer RNA is filed under the name Mantispa japonica. RNAcentral's name for it is "tRNA-His". Lineage: Eukaryota; Metazoa; Arthropoda; Insecta; Neuroptera; Mantispidae. The record is from RNAcentral.